Long non-coding RNA from Heterocephalus glaber (naked mole-rat), 643 nucleotides. The record is from Ensembl. Lineage: Eukaryota; Metazoa; Chordata; Mammalia; Rodentia; Bathyergidae.
UAUUAAAGAAGACAGAAGUUUCUUAUUGAGUUGCCUCAGUGGGAAGACUUGCGGACCAGGCACUGGAAUUCUCUGAAGGCUUCUCCGAGCAUCUCUCCAUGUCUCUGAGCUCUCUCUCUGUGAUCUUGCUGGUCUGGUGGCUUCGGGGUAGCAGGAUAUCUUAUACAUUGUCUCCAAGCCUCAUGUUUUCAAAGAGAGAGUGGCAUAGAGAAUAGAAAGCCAGAAAAAGGUCUAGAUGCAGUGCCUUCAGCAAUAGCAAGGAGAAUAUGGCAAAGAGCUAAAUCACAUUGUCCACUACUGUGCUUGUCAGGCUAUGAGGACCCCUUUAGGUGCUUUGGGAACUUGAUGUUCAAUGGAAUUAUUUUUCACAUUCGUGGAAAGCAGUUUCUCUUAUGCUGCUCACCACAUGGUGGCUAAGAAUCAGAACAAGAGCAGAGAGGAGCCAAGGACAGGAAUAUAUCUCCAGGUCACAUCCUGUGCAACCCUUUUCUCCUGACCAGGCCCCACCCCCUAACACCAUAUUUCAGCCAUGAACUCGUCACCAGAUUAAUCUACUGAUGAGCAUAGCAUCCCCAUGACCCAGACUCUUGGAGGACAUUUUAGAUCUAAACCAUGGCACCCACUUAUUCUUGGUCCUUUCUCC